CAGCCGCCACGGUAAUACGAAGGGUGCAAGCGUUAAUCGGAAUUACUGGGCGUAAAGCGUGCGUAGGCGGUGAGUUAAGUCUGCUGUGAAAUCCCCGGGCUCAACCUGGGAAUGGCAGUGGAUACUGGCUCGCUAGAGUGUGUCAGAGGAUGGUGGAAUUCCCGGUGUAGCGGUGAAAUGCGUAGAGAUCGGGAGGAACAUCAGUGGCGAAGGCGGCCAUCUGGGACAACACUGACGCUGAGGCACGAAAGCGUGGGGAGCAAACAGGAUUAGAGACCCGUGUAGUCCCUGUCUCUUAUAC
This 301-nucleotide ribosomal RNA is filed under the name uncultured bacterium. RNAcentral's name for it is "partial 16S ribosomal RNA". It matches the Rfam family "Bacterial small subunit ribosomal RNA", at positions 509 to 807 of the family's 1533-position model. The record is from RNAcentral.